Scylla paramamosain (green mud crab) is the source of this 1518-nucleotide long non-coding RNA. RefSeq lists it as uncharacterized. The record is from RefSeq and is a predicted model, not a curated record. Lineage: Eukaryota; Metazoa; Arthropoda; Malacostraca; Decapoda; Portunidae. The transcript is spliced from 6 exons.
CGCAGUAAUUUCUUUGUGGGUGAGGAGCGUGCACGACAAAGGGUGGCAACUCAACUAAUGUGGGGGCGUAGCUCCGCCCCUUUGAAAGAAAACGGGAAGUGGCCCGAGAGACCACUGUACUUGGAGGUGUCCAGCUCCGAGAUGCUACCAAGCUGGGUCAUCCCCGGCCGUUAAAAGAGGCUGUGAGUGACCCAGUCAAUCAUGGACGGGCCGGGGCCACCUUUAGCCCAUGUGGGUUUCCAGCCUCACGAAUCAACAAUAUCCAGUCACCCAGGCCUCCUUGUCCUUUCCGCUUCUGCUUCCUUGCCACCUGUGUCUGCCCUGAAGCAAGUUUAGACCAAAUGAGGAGGACAGAACAAGUGGAAUCCUUACCUUUGGACUGAUAUCUGUUUUGGUUUCAUAGAAAUGAUGAAGAAAGUCAAGGCAAGCCGAAAGGAUGCAGUCACCGCCAGUGUGGACGCCCUUUCUGACAUGAAUCCGUCCAUCGAGAAGGCAAGCUGAUUAGUGUGUUUGGCAGCAUUGGCACCAGGAAAAGCUCCUUCAUCUCAGCUGGUCGUGGAGAUGUUUCAUAGAAAUGAUGAAGAAAGUCAAGGCAAGCCGAAAGGAUGCAGUCACCGCCAGUGUGGACGCCCUUUCUGACAUGAAUCCGUCCAUCGAGAAGGCAAGCUGAUUAGUGUGUUUGGCAGCAUUGGCACCAAGAAAAGCUCCUUUAUCUCAGCUGGUCGUGGAGAUGUUUCAUAGAAAUGAUGAAGAAAGUCAAGGCAAGCCGAAAGGAUGCAGUCACCGCCAGUGUGGACGCCCUUUCUUACAUGAAUCCGUCCAUCGAGAAGGCAAGCUGAUUAGUGUGUUUGGCAGCAUUGGCACCAAGAAAAGCUCCUUCAUCUCAGCUGGUCGUGGAGAUGUUUCAUAGAAAUGAUGAAGAAAGUCAAGGCAAGCCGAAAGGAUGCAGUCACCGCCAGUGUGGACGCCCUUUCUGACAUGAAUCCGUCCAUCGAGAAGGCAAGCUGAUUAGUGUGUUUGGCAGCAUUGGCACCAAGAAAAGCUCCUUCAUCUCAGCUGGUCGUUGAGAUGUUUCAUAGAAAUGAUGAAGAAAGUCAAGGCAAGCCGAAAGGAUGCAGUCACCACCAGUGUGGACGCCCUUUGUGACAUGAAUCCGUCCAUCGAGAAGGCAAGUUGAUUAGCGUGUUUGGCAGCAUUGGCACCAGGAAAAGCUCCUUCAUCUUAGCUGGUCUUAGAGAUGUAAGGCUCUGUUUUUCCUUUUCAUUUCUUUCUUCCUGUAUAUAUGUUCCUCAGAUCUUUUUAUCUGCAUUAUCAUUUAAUUUAAUACCUUUUUUUUGUGUUAUGUGGUCUUUCCAUUUCCCACUUUUGUAGUCAUAGAUGUCUUUUUUGACUUUGCUUCUUUUUUCAUUUCUUUCUCCAUAUAUCUUCUCUUUUUUAGUUUUUCAUUAACAUACAUUUCCAUAUCCUUAUUUGGGUAACAUCACUAUUAGAGCUUGUAUUACAGGGAUAAGUCUUGCA